ACAGCCUGAGUGUGUAUGGCAAGCGUGUGUGUCUGCACAAGUGCACGCGUGACAGAGGAGGAAUCCCAAGCAGCCUGAGGCCCGCCGUGCUGCACGGUUCCCAGAUCACCAUGCGCCCACCCUGUGGCCUGCUGCUGGAGCCCCGCGUGGGGGUCACUCAGUGUCCCCCGGGACCCUGUCCAAGAACUUCGGGACACAGCAGUGUCUGCCACAUGGAGGCUCGGUGGAGCAUGACCCGCGUGCACCAGUGAGGCCAGAGCAGGCGAAGGCCCCUCACCCCCUCGCUUCCACUGUCCUCGCUCUCUCAGUGCCAGGCCAUCUCUGCAGAACUCAGGCAGAGUCCGGUGGAGGCAGCCGGAUGGAGUCUUCCCCGUACAGCCAGGCUGUGCGGCUGCCCUCCUCUGGAAAGACGCUUCUGCAGAGAUGGCCACAGCUUGAUCAUGGUGCGUGCCUGAGCUCCCAGCUCUGUGCAGGCUGAGGCAGGAGGACCACAAAUUCCAU
This is a long non-coding RNA of Octodon degus (degu), 501 nucleotides long. RefSeq lists it as uncharacterized. The transcript is spliced from 3 exons. The record is from RefSeq and is a predicted model, not a curated record. Lineage: Eukaryota; Metazoa; Chordata; Mammalia; Rodentia; Octodontidae.